AAGUCGUAACAAGGUUUCCGUAGGUGAACCUGCGGAAGGAUCAUUACUGAACUGUCGACAUGAGUUGUUGCUGGUCCUCAAAUGGGGGCAUGUGCACACUCUGUUCACACAUCCACUCACACCUGUGCACCUCCUGUAGUUCUAUGGCCUGGGGGACCCCUGUCCUCCUUCUGUAGUUCUAUGUCUUUUACACACACACCACAAUACAGUCUUAUGGAAUGUAUGCUGCGUUUAACGCAAUAUAAUACAACUUUCAGCAACGGAUCUCUUGGCUCUCGCAUCGAUGAAGAACGCAGCGAAAUGCGAUAAGUAAUGUGAAUUGCAGAAUUCAGUGAAUCAUCGAAUCUUUGAACGCACCUUGCGCCCCUUGGUUAUUCCGAAGGGCAUGCCUGUUUGAGUAUCAUGAACACCUCAACUCUUGUGGUUUCCCCCACAAUGAGCUUGGACUGUGGAGGUUUUGUUGGCCUGUGGUCAGCUCCUCUCAAAUGGAUCAGCUUACCAGUGUUUGGUGGCAUCAUGGGUGUGAUAACUAUUUACACUUGUGGUCAUCUCCAAAUAACCUUCAGUGAUGGAGGUUCGCUGGAGCUUAUAAGUGUCUCUCCUCAGUGAAGACAGCCUUUGAACGUUUGAUCUCAAAUCAGGUAGGACUACCCGCUGAACUUAA
Molecule: ribosomal RNA, 664 nt
Filed under: uncultured fungus
Lineage: Eukaryota; Fungi
Description: eukaryotic LSU rRNA
Rfam family: 5.8S ribosomal RNA (bases 249-403)
Source: RNAcentral